UGCACGGGCGGAUGCUCGGUUGGCUUGACCGAUGUAGGUUACUAAAUGCAUGAGCAGCUUUGGACCCGUGUCUGCUGGUACGUUGCGUUUCAGAAUAUAGUUGCCCCCAAAACUUUAUCGUUGCGGGGGUGACACACGCGCGAUGUGGUCUCUCUGGACGCCUCCUUCGAGUAAACCUCCCGUGCAUUGCACGGGCGGAUGCUCGGUUGGCUUGAACGAUGUAGGCUACUAAACACAUGGGCAGCUUUGGACCCGUGUCUGCUGGUAGAUCCCCCAUCGUUCGACGGUCGACUAUUGGCUCCGUGUCCUACCAAUCAGUUGGCAUUGUACCAUCGAUGGAUCAGGCAGUGUUUGCAUAUGAGUACCCGACAUACGGGAAGUGGGGCGUGAUAUAUAUGUUGCCACACGGCGGACGUCGUACGGGCGUUUUGCUGUGGCCGGAUAGCGCUUGUGGCGUUGCCUCGUAUCACGGGCAUGUAAUGUGCCUGUUGUUAUCAAGGCAACCUCGCUCGCGUCGUUGGUCUCGGAUGUUGCUCAUGAUAAAGGCUCAUGGCCCAUUUGGUUGCCUCGACCCGAC
This 577-nucleotide long non-coding RNA is filed under the name Hordeum vulgare. RNAcentral's name for it is "long non-coding RNA (HVUL_LNC011636)". The record is from RNAcentral. Lineage: Eukaryota; Viridiplantae; Streptophyta; Magnoliopsida; Poales; Poaceae.